RNAcentral lists this ribosomal RNA (253 nucleotides) under uncultured bacterium. RNAcentral describes it as "partial 16S ribosomal RNA". It matches the Rfam family "Bacterial small subunit ribosomal RNA", at positions 524 to 776 of the family's 1533-position model. The record is from RNAcentral.
UACAGAGGGUGCAAGCGUUGUUCGGAAUUAUUGGGCGUAAAGGGCGCGUAGGCGGUGCGGUAAGUCCGCAGUGAAAUCUCUGGGCUCAACUCAGAGUCUGCUGUGGAAACUGCCGUGCUUGAGUGUGGGAGAGGUGAGUGGAAUUCCCGGUGUAGCGGUGAAAUGCGUAGAUAUCUGGAAGAACACCAGUGGCGAAGGCGGUCAACUGGCCCGUAACUGACGCUGAGGCACGAAAGCGUGGGGAGCGAACAGG